UGACAGGAUGAUGACGAAAGGCUGCAUGCCCGGCGUGAUGACGUAUGGUUUCCUCCUGCAGGGACUGUGCAGGGUGAGGCAGGCUGAUGAGGCACGGGCAAUGCUCGGGAGGGUGCCGGAGCUGAAUGUCG
This 131-nucleotide small nucleolar RNA is filed under the name Oryza sativa (Asian cultivated rice). RNAcentral's name for it is "Z123 small nucleolar RNA". The record is from RNAcentral. Lineage: Eukaryota; Viridiplantae; Streptophyta; Magnoliopsida; Poales; Poaceae.